This 74-nucleotide transfer RNA is filed under the name Chitinophagaceae bacterium. Its description in RNAcentral is "tRNA-His". It matches the Rfam family "tRNA". Rfam says of the family: Transfer RNA (tRNA) molecules are approximately 80 nucleotides in length. Their secondary structure includes four short double-helical elements and three loops (D, anti-codon, and T loops). The record is from RNAcentral. RNAcentral also lists the same sequence under 6 other names. Lineage: Bacteria; Pseudomonadati; Bacteroidota; Chitinophagia; Chitinophagales; Chitinophagaceae.
GAGAGCGUAGCUCAGUUGGUUAGAGCGUUAGUUUGUGGCACUAAAGGUCGGGGGUUCGAGACCCCUCGUUCUCC